RNAcentral lists this ribosomal RNA (458 nucleotides) under uncultured bacterium. Its description in RNAcentral is "partial 16S ribosomal RNA". It matches the Rfam family "Bacterial small subunit ribosomal RNA", at positions 338 to 795 of the family's 1533-position model. The record is from RNAcentral.
CCUACGGGCGGCUGCAGUGAGGAAUAUUGGUCAAUGGGCGAGAGCCUGAACCAGCCAAGUCGCGUGAGGGAGUACUGCCCUAUGGGUUGUAAACCUCUUUUGUCGGGGAGCAAAAGCCGGACGUGUCCGGCUGUGAGAGUACCCGAAGAAAAAGCAUCGGCUAACUCCGUGCCAGCAGCCGCGGUAAUACGGAGGAUGCGAGCGUUAUCCGGAUUUAUUGGGUUUAAAGGGUGCGCAGGCGGAUUUUUAAGUCAGCGGUCAAAUCGUGGGGCUCAACCCCAUCCAGCCGUUGAAACUGGGGAUCUAGAGUGUGCGAGAGGUAUGCGGAAUGCGUGGUGUAGCGGUGAAAUGCAUAGAUAUCACGAAGAACUCCGAUUGCGAAGGCAGCUCACUGGACUGCAACUGACACUGAGGCUCGAAAGUGUGGGUAUCAAACAGGAUUAGAUACCCUUGUAGUC